Molecule: long non-coding RNA, 262 nt
Filed under: Prunus persica (peach)
Lineage: Eukaryota; Viridiplantae; Streptophyta; Magnoliopsida; Rosales; Rosaceae
Description: long non-coding RNA (PPER_LNC001274)
Source: RNAcentral
CCAAGUCUGUCCAAGUGACACCAUUAUUUUAUCUUUUCUGAUGGAUCAAUCCACUGAGUGUUUCCCGCACGCAUAAAUGCUGCACCGGCUUCUCAAAUAAGCUAAUAAGUUUCAAAAUUGGCAGCCCAUCCCACACGUCACGUUGCCUUUUAAAAGCCACACAACCAUAUUUGUACAAAUUAAAUGACAAAGUCAAAAGAAUUUUCCACAUAAAAGAUUGUAGGCCAAAGAAAAAUCAAAUCAUGAUAUAAGUCAGUGUUCC